AAAUUGAAGAGUUUGAUCAUGGCUCAGAUUGAACGCUGGCGGCAGGCCUAACACAUGCAAGUCGAACGGUAACAGGAAGCAGCUUGCUGCUUUGCUGACGAGUGGCGGACGGGUGAGUAAUGUCUGGGAAACUGCCUGAUGGAGGGGGAUAACUACUGGAAACGGUGGCUAAUACCGCAUAACGUCGCAAGACCAAAGAGGGGGACCUUCGG
RNAcentral lists this ribosomal RNA (212 nucleotides) under Salmonella enterica subsp. enterica serovar Infantis. RNAcentral describes it as "partial 16S ribosomal RNA". It matches the Rfam family "Bacterial small subunit ribosomal RNA", at positions 1 to 218 of the family's 1533-position model. The record is from RNAcentral. RNAcentral also lists the same sequence under 11 other names. Lineage: Bacteria; Pseudomonadati; Pseudomonadota; Gammaproteobacteria; Enterobacterales; Enterobacteriaceae.